Molecule: long non-coding RNA, 3316 nt
Organism: Equus caballus (horse)
Lineage: Eukaryota; Metazoa; Chordata; Mammalia; Perissodactyla; Equidae
Source: Ensembl
GUUGUAUUUGUAAUAGAAAUUUUGAAGGCAAAAUAAAAUAUCCUGUCUUCCAGAUGGUAAAUAUCUUAUUUUAAAAGUUUAUUGCAGUUAUCUUUUUGACCGUGCCCAUCUGGAGAAGGGAAAUUUUACACUUUCUCAUGGUGCUCCUUAAGUAUCUGUGGAGGUUAAAGGAUAUAAGGUAAAAUAUUUCCACUCCUGGUUUGGUGGUAACUGAUUAGUGGUUACCUACCAGCUAUUAUGCAAAGUCAGAUUAGUUCAGAACCUUUUUGAGAGCCUUUUGGAAGAAGCAGUUUUAUUCUGAGUAGGGCAGACUCCUUUUUGUUGAUAGUUUCUAUAGUUGCUCCCUUCAGCAUUCUCAUUUUACUGGCAUUUUAUUUAACGAUAGCAAAUUGGGAAAAUGGUGAAUUUUAGGUCACUGAGGUAAAUGAAUAUAUGAAAGCAGUUGCCUCUAAAGUCAGUUAACAACUCUUUUGUACAUGGGGCUUGGCUAAGACUAGCAGAUGGUAGCAUGAAGAAAUGCUUUUUUUCUUUCUAAAGGUAGAGCCUGUCUUGUUGCAGAUAGCUAUCUGUAAAUAAUUGCCUAAAUCUUCCUUUGCUAGAUUGUGGAAAAUAUGAGAAUCUUUUGAGCAAGCCUUUCCAUUUUUUUUCUGAUGACUAGAUAAUUCUUUUCUCCUAAGAUAUAUCAGGAAGGAUGUGUCAAGUGAGUGGCCUUAUUCAUGGCAGCAUCCUUGGGCCCAGUCUGGUCCCUAGCACUUGUCCCAGUGCUGCUGGGUUGUUUAUCUUGUUUAUCUGGUAUCACUGUGGAAUGGAAUUUUCCACAUAAUCCAAACUUGCCUUAUUUAAGCAGUAACACUUUUUUAUUUUAGCCAUUCUUUUGAUGGAGUUAUUUAAUAUGUAUAUCAGAGAAUAUACUGGAUAUACUGUUUCAUUUUGUGCCUGUCUUUGUAGACUUCAGGGGCUGCUAAGACAGGCAGGACUGUUUUGCCUUUACUGAAUGGUCGCAGACUGCUAUGGUUUUGAAUGGUUAGUUUUUUAAUACACGCAUCCCCCAGCCUUCUCCCUUUCUGACAGCAACCGCUUCCUGUGUACCUCCUCUUAGUAGUUUCUUUUUCCCAUUCUGAUUCAUUUUUCUCACUGCUUGGGCAAGGAAACCAGAUGACCAAACUAACUGAACUUUCUUUAAAACACAAGGACAAACUGGGAUGGGACCCAAGCAGCUUUCCUGUGAAGUCUUGAAAAGGACUUCAGUGCUUUGACUUUUGACGUCGGUGGACGGCUCAGAGUGCUUCCUGAUUCUUGCUGAGUUUCAGGUAGUUGAAGUAGAGAGAAGUGAGUCUGUACUCAUAUUUUCCCCCUUUGAAAGAUUAUGAAAGGUUUUGUUGCUUCCACUCGAAUGCUGCUCACACAAAAACUGGGGUCAUAAGGGUUCCUAAAUUAGCGUCAGUAGCCAGAGCCAAUACCAUUGCCUAGAGGACACCAGCAAAAAAAAAAAAAAAAAAACCCAACAGCAACAACAAACGGAAACAAACCCUGGAAAAUGAGAGGGUCGUUUUUGUUUUGUUUUGUUUUGGUGUCCCUUUUGAGCCCUAUCUCCUGGCCUUCCUCCUCUGCAGAUAUUUUUGACCUCUUGGUGCCUUUAUGAGAAUUGAGGGUCUGAUAUUUUGUCCCAAGGAGUAGCUAAAGUAAUUGCUGAUGUUUUCAGGGAUUUUAACAUCAGACUUGAAUGAACUUUCUUCCCUGUUUUUUUUUUUUAAACGUAGGAAGGACUGAGGAGAAAACUCUGGUGAAGACAAUCAUUUCUCUCUAUUGGUAUGGAUAGUUUUCACAGUUUAGUUAAGAUGCUUCUCAAUAGGUCCCAGAGUCAGUGUUGUUGUUCUGCCUGAAACUAGUGGCUCUGGGCUGGGGCCAGACAGUCGUGUGCUCUAGUUUGCGCUCUGCCACAAAUUGGAUGUAUGACCUUGGGCAAGUCGUUUACCUUCUCUGGGCCUCAGUUGCCUCAUCUGUAAAAUGAGGGAGUUGGACUGGAUGAGUUCUUCCAGCUCUGAAAUUUAAGUGACCUUGCCUACCUUGCAGCAGCUUUUGAUUUCUUUCUUACCUUUGCUCUGCUGUUUGAGGGGGCUUUUUACUUAUUUCCACAUUAUUCACAUGAGACUAGGCUUGAUAUUUUAUUACUAUUCUCCUAUGGACAAAAAGUUACAUAAUAUGUCCUUAAGACUUAAGUUCAACCAAAGGCCUAGCACCACCUUGGGAGCUGCAAUAAAUAGUUAAAAAAAAAAAAAUUACUGCGAGGGGGGAAAAGCCUUCAUUUUGUUUUCUCAUCAUCUUUAUUCAAGGUUUAUUAAGGCCUUUUUUUGAGUCAUGACAUUCUCCUUUUGGGUUGGUAUGUGUGUGACACCAUCCUCUUAAGUGCUGUGUGCUAGUAAUUUUUUUUCAACUAAAAUGGAUUGAAAACUUACUGUAAAUGCCUGAUGAUAUUAGAGGUCAUUACUUUGCAUCUUUGGUUUCUUAACUCUUCUAUGCUCAAAACAGGGAAAUUCCUCUGAACUGCAUCAACUGAAAUGGUUUCUCCGACUCAAGAAAACAAUACAAGUGGAUGAUUAUUCACUUUAUUCUUGGCUCUUUUUAGGUCCAUGUUGAUUUGAAGACUUUUGGCUGGAGCAUUCCUUUCAGAGUUCUCUUCCAGCUGAUCCUUGGAUGAUCCUGGUAGAGGCCAGCUCUGUGUUAGCUGGAGAGGAAGGGAUGAAACCAGCUGUUCUUGCUAUGGCUGCUUGUCACUGAUAGAAGGACUCAUGGACUUGGAUUGGUUAAAAGGCUAAAAUGGAGUUGGCAAACUUCCUCCAAGUAUUGGGUUCUGUCCCAUGCCUUGGACAUGUGAUUUACAGGAAAAGUGUGAAUACUUAUAGAUGAUGAAAACCUGGUAGGCUGCAGAGCCAUUUGGAGGAGGUGACUGGGGGUUGGGGACAGAUUUGUGGUGGUAUUUCCCAACUCUGUCUCCUCCACUGAAGUCAGAGGAAUGCAGCUAUGCCAAAACCCAGAAAAGAGCCACACUUACCUUCUGCUUUUGGGAAAACUGGUCAGCUCCAGCUCCGGUAGUUCCUCUGUGGCUUUCUGUAUACUUUUGCCUGGUUGAAGUCUGUGGCUAAAAAAUAGUUGAACCUUUCCUAAGAACUCUGUAACAAAGUAUGUUUUUGAUUAAAAGAGAAAGCCAAUUAAAUCAUUAUGUGCUCAUUCUUUUUCUUAAGCUUGUGGAUGUUUUGGGUCUAGAAAGAAUUCCUAAUCACUUAGAGAAUUCUCAGACUUGAGGACAGCAUUUUCC